CUACUGCGACUCGUCCCAGUGCGCCGGGAUUCCUUACAACGGUCAAGGAUACGCAGGUUCCGCGUAGUUUUUCUUUGCCGCCUGCGCCGCUUUCAUGACUUCCCGAAACGCUCGAGACGUUUGAGGGAAGCGCUAACAAACUUUGCUGCACCGACGACAACAACAACAACAACAACAACAACAACAAACAGGAACUAACCAACAGCAAACAUGGGUGGCGGCCAUUUUGUGGCCCCUUUGCAUCGUGCCGGCAAACGACGAUGAGGAGCAUGACGACGACAGCAACAACGAGAACAUACUAACAACAUGGAGAUGAACUAUUGAUGCUUUGUUGCCCAGCAACCCUCAACCCGCUGCUUGCCAAUGCCAACAACAAACCUCGUCUUUAUUUCUAAUUGGUCAUACAGUGAAGCCUCGCCGUCCCGUUCGUGGGUUACAAUUCCAAUCUCUUGACCGUUGUCUCUCGUCAGAGAUGAACCUCAGCCACAAACUGCACGCGCGGCAAUCAAUCGAUGAAUCGACAGACGGCUAAUGGAUGAUCAGAUGAAUCCGCGUCGCGUUUGAUUACGGAUUCAUCGUUUAGAGGUCUUGUUCAAAUCCUCCAAAUUUCGGACUCUCACGUGUACAUUUGAGAGCAGACGUGCUCUUUCAAAACAACAAUCAACACUUUUGCCGAUUUUCUCACAGGGCUUACGGACCAAACCAGACACUAACUAAUCGGAUAGAAAUUCAUU
This is a long non-coding RNA of Hippocampus comes (tiger tail seahorse), 734 nucleotides long. RefSeq lists it as uncharacterized. The transcript is spliced from 2 exons. Lineage: Eukaryota; Metazoa; Chordata; Actinopteri; Syngnathiformes; Syngnathidae. The record is from RefSeq and is a predicted model, not a curated record.